AUCUAGUGGGAGUUUACUACUUUUGGUCGUCUGCACAACUUUUUUGCGGCGGAACGCGGGUAGAGUGGCGUGUUCAGUAAGAAAACCUUGAAGAAUCUUCGUAAUAAUGGAGAACAAGUAUGCGGGAAGUGGUAGAGAAAGGCGUUAAUGGUAGGAUAUACCGGAAGAUCAUCACGCGAAAAGCAUCUGUUCAAAAUAUCAUCAAGGAAAGCCUUAAAUGGUGACGCACUGUACCGGUACCAACGGACCUAUGCCAGAAACAGCCUUGGACCAAAUUAGCAAGGCAACUGCAAUCAAUUCGUUCUCCGUAAGGAGUUUUGCAUCUAAAUUAAUUUAGUUACCGGUGUUUUUAUAUCAUAUCAACCAAGGGCCUGUGUCCCAUAGAGUAUUUGGAGGGAGCCACCAGUAGGUUAUUUCACACUGUCUUCACUUUGUUUAGCAUGUAGUGUUUAAACAUAAUGGGAUUUGGAUCUACGAAUGAAAAUAACACUAUAAAUACCACUGGAAUGAUAAACAAGGCCAUGGGAAGGGAAUUAUAUUUUUUACUGGCAUCGAACAAAUUGAUGGACCUUUAAUUUUUUUCCCUAAAAAAGUCCAAUACACAGCUCAGACACAGCAAAAAUACAAGAUUUGAAACUUUCUUUCAAAAUAUAAAUAUCACAAUUCACCUAAUUUUAUACUGGAAAACACUUGGUGCAUCUACUGGAAGUGAGCUCAAUUUAGUCUUGAAACAAUUUCUUGUUUUUGUUUAGCAGGUGUUCUCAUUGGUGAUAAGCUCCCAUUAAUGUAAUGAUAUCGUCUACGGUUUAGGGAAUAGCCAUUUUAAUGUCAAUGUUGUGCAGUCAAUAGUGUACUGUUUGGCGUGGAAUAAACACCGGCAUCGAGAUAAUAUUUUCAUAUGCGAAGAACACUCUCAUAGCAGAGGAUUUGCAAAAUACUUGAAAAAAAAACAUGGAAAUCUGAAAUAACAAUGGGGCAGUGUAAAAGAACCUCAAUUCGGUUGAAAGCUGAUCGAAAAAUAUAACACUGUCAGAGUGGAAUUCCCUCCCAAACUCUUUGGAACCGUAAAAUAAUUUGCUGCAUCAUCCAAAACGUUUUUGGCCUUCCUAUGGAUUUACCAACAUUGAUACUCACAUCAACAAUGCACAUAUGUCUAAAUGUGAAAGUCGAUAUGUUUUUAAAAAUCCCAUAAUACAUUAUUAUGGCAAAAGUUCGCAUGUUCCAGUUUUGAUAUUUUGACAACAAGAUUUGCAAAAGAGCGUGGAUUAAUACAUAAAGUCCAAAGCGACUGGUUUUAGUAUAGACUGGGAGAUCGUGAUAAGAUCGAAGUCACCCGCUAUCAAAAUGAACAUAAUUACUUAAUUUUCAGGCGCAUUAGGACCGUGUUUAUUCAAAUAUGAUUAUCAGUAUGUAAAUAGUAUAUAUGUAUGCUCAAAGACACAUUCAUUUUUAGUUUUUAUUGAAAGUUGCUAAUUAGUAUUCCGCCAAACUGUCAGAUGAACUCUUAUGCACAAGUCUGAACUGGAAUAUUCAAUUUCCAUAAAGUUUUGUUGUUAUAGGGUAUUUCAAAUAGUCUUAAAAUCCCUAUUAUAAGUAUUUUUUGUUAGAUUCAAACAAAUAUCUGUAAUGCCUGAUGAUAUAUUACGAUAUUCUUAAAAUAAUUAAAUCAUAAAAGUAAAUUGUUGUAAAAACGGGCUAUAAUAUAAUUUUUGCAAUGCCAAAAGAUUUCAAGUAAUGAACAACUUGCAAUUUUAUGCUGUUAUAUUUGCCUAAGAUUUCAAAAUAUUUUAAAUAAAAUACGGUAAUCAAAAAGUUUUAUUUACGUAGGCUACGCUAUAUCGGUGCAUAGAAGUAUUUUAUUCAUAUCAUCUCAAAGGUAUCCAAAUUUGAGAAGAAUAUGUUAUACAAUAUCGUUAUUAAAAUAUGAUUAUAAUAUUGUCAUAAAUCAUUAAAAACCUCAAAAAGAAAUGACUUCAUAUUAGAUUUCUCACAGGAUAGGAAGGUUACGUUUUAAGUAUUAUGUUUAGUAGAUAUCAUGUUAGUAGGAUUAAACUACUGCCAGGUACAGUAUGAAUCAUUAAAAUACGGUAGUUUCUGUCGUAUAGGUGCCAUGAAAAUCCUUCAAAACCGUGAGGCUACAUGGCUACUCUGCAGUAAAAUACAGGUCCGGUACUGGGUACCGCUACUGUUCCGCGUGGCAACCAUUCCAAAUCAACCAGUAGUAAGUUGAUAUCUAUUUUAUCCACCAGAUAAAUUUGUCAAACCCUCUUCGAAUUCAUCUGAAUAAAUAUGAAAACUCCAUCCCAUACUUCUGAGAACGCAAAAGCGCGGUAACAACGCUAGCGCUCACCGUGGAAAGUCCAAAGUAGUAAACUACCACUAGAUGGUGUAGGUGAC
Long non-coding RNA from Styela clava, 2397 nucleotides. RefSeq lists it as uncharacterized. The record is from RefSeq and is a predicted model, not a curated record. NCBI's taxonomy places the organism in Eukaryota, Metazoa, Chordata, Ascidiacea, Stolidobranchia, Styelidae.